UUAAGCGACUAAGCGUACACGGUGGAUGCCCUGGCAGUCAGAGGCGAUGAAGGACGUGCUAAUCUGCGAAAAGCGUCGGUAAGGUGAUAUGAACCGUUAUAGCCGGCGAUGUCCGAAUGGGGAAACCCAGUGCAAUUCGUUGCACUAUCGUUAACUGAAUACAUAGGUUAACGAGGCGAACCGGGGGAACUGAAACAUCUAAGUACCCCGAGGAAAAGAAAUCAACCGAGAUUCCCCCAGUAGCGGCGAGCGAACGGGGAGCAGCCCAGAGUCUGAAUCAGCUUGUGUGUUAGUGGAACGGUCUGGAAAGUCCGACGGUACAGGGUGAUAGUCCCGUACACCAAAAUGCACAGGUUGUGAACUCGAAGAGUAGGGCGGGACACGUGGUAUCCUGUCUGAAUAUGGGGGGACCAUCCUCCAAGGCUAAAUACUCCUGACUGACCGAUAGUGAACCAGUACCGUGAGGGAAAGGCGAAAAGAACCCCGGCGAGGGGAGUGAAAAAGAACCUGAAACCGUGUACGUACAAGCAGUGGGAGCACCUUCGGGUGUGACUGCGUACCUUUUGUAUAAUGGGUCAGCGACUUAUAUUCUGUAGCAAGGUUAACCAUAUAGGGGAGCCGCAGGGAAACCGAGUCUUAACUGGGCGUUAAGUUGCAGGGUAUAGACCCGAAACCCGGUGAUCUAGCCAUGGGCAGGUUGAAGGUUGGGUAACACUAACUGGAGGACCGAACCGACUAAUGUUGAAAAAUUAGCGGAUGACUUGUGGCUGGGGGUGAAAGGCCAAUCAAACCGGGAGAUAGCUGGUUCUCCCCGAAAGCUAUUUAGGUAGCGCCUCGUGAAUUCAUCUUCGGGGGUAGAGCACUGUUUCGGCUAGGGGGUCAUCCCGACUUACCAACCCGAUGCAAACUACGAAUACCGAAGAAUGUUAUCACGGGAGACACACGGCGGGUGCUAACGUCCGUCGUGAAGAGGGAAACAACCCAGACCGCCAGCUAAGGUCCCAAAGUCAUGGUUAAGUGGGAAACGAUGUGGGAAGGCACAGACAGCCAGGAUGUUGGCUUAGAAGCAGCCAUCAUUUAAAGAAAGCGUAAUAGCUCACUGGUCGAGUCGGCCUGCGCGGAAGAUGUAACGGGGCUAAACCAUGCACCGAAGCUGCGGCAGCGACACUAUGUGUUGUUGGGUAGGGGAGCGUUCUGUAAGCCUGCGAAGGUGACCUGUGAGGGUUGCUGGAGGUAUCAGAAGUGCGAAUGCUGACAUAAGUAACGAUAAAGCGGGUGAAAAGCCCGCUCGCCGGAAGACCAAGGGUUCCUGUCCAACGUUAAUCGGGGCAGGGUGAGUCGACCCCUAAGGCGAGGCCGAAAGGCGUAGUCGAUGGGAAACAGGUUAAUAUUCCUGUACUUGGUGUUACUGCGAAGGGGGGACGGAGAAGGCUAUGUUAGCCGGGCGACGGUUGUCCCGGUUUAAGCAUGUAGGCUGGUUAUCCAGGCAAAUCCGGAUAAUCAAGGCUGAGGUGUGAUGACGAGGCACUACGGUGCUGAAGUAACAAAUGCCCUGCUUCCAGGAAAAGCCUCUAAGCAUCAGGUAACAUCAAAUCGUACCCCAAACCGACACAGGUGGUCAGGUAGAGAAUACCAAGGCGCUUGAGAGAACUCGGGUGAAGGAACUAGGCAAAAUGGUGCCGUAACUUCGGGAGAAGGCACGCUGGUGUGUAGGUGAAGCCCCUGCGGGUGGAGCUGAGACCAGUCGAAGAUACCAGCUGGCUGCAACUGUUUAUUAAAAACACAGCACUGUGCAAACACGAAAGUGGACGUAUACGGUGUGACGCCUGCCCGGUGCCGGAAGGUUAAUUGAUGGGGUUAUCCGUAAGGAGAAGCUCUUGAUCGAAGCCCCGGUAAACGGCGGCCGUAACUAUAACGGUCCUAAGGUAGCGAAAUUCCUUGUCGGGUAAGUUCCGACCUGCACGAAUGGCGUAAUGAUGGCCAGGCUGUCUCCACCCGAGACUCAGUGAAAUUGAACUCGCUGUGAAGAUGCAGUGUACCCGCGGCAAGACGGAAAGACCCCGUGAACCUUUACUAUAGCUUGACACUGAACAUUGAGCCUUGAUGUGUAGGAUAGGUGGGAGGCUUUGAAGCGUGGACGCCAGUCUGCGUGGAGCCAACCUUGAAAUACCACCCUUUAAUGUUUGAUGUUCUAACGUUGGCCCCUGACCGGGGUUGCGGACAGUGUCUGGUGGGUAGUUUGACUGGGGCGGUCUCCUCCCAAAGCGUAACGGAGGAGCACGAAGGUUAGCUAAUCCUGGUCGGACAUCAGGAGGUUAGUGCAAUGGCAUAAGCUAGCUUGACUGCGAGCGUGACGGCGCGAGCAGGUGCGAAAGCAGGUCAUAGUGAUCCGGUGGUUCUGAAUGGAAGGGCCAUCGCUCAACGGAUAAAAGGUACUCCGGGGAUAACAGGCUGAUACCGCCCAAGAGUUCAUAUCGACGGCGGUGUUUGGCACCUCGAUGUCGGCUCAUCACAUCCUGGGGCUGAAGUAGGUCCCAAGGGUAUGGCUGUUCGCCAUUUAAAGUGGUACGCGAGCUGGGUUUAGAACGUCGUGAGACAGUUCGGUCCCUAUCUGCCGUGGGCGCUGGAGAAUUGAGGGGGGCUGCUCCUAGUACGAGAGGACCGGAGUGGACGCAUCACUGGUGUUCGGGUUGUCAUGCCAAUGGCACUGCCCGGUAGCUAAAUGCGGAAGAGAUAAGUGCUGAAAGCAUCUAAGCACGAAACUUGCCCCGAGAUGAGUUCUCCCUGAGACUUUAAGUCUCCUGAAGGAACGUUGAAGACGACGACGUUGAUAGGCCGGGUGUGUAAGCGCAGCGAUGCGUUGAGCUAACCGGUACUAAUGAACCGUGAGGCUUAACCUU
RNAcentral lists this ribosomal RNA (2900 nucleotides) under Klebsiella pneumoniae. RNAcentral describes it as "23S ribosomal RNA". It matches the Rfam family "Bacterial large subunit ribosomal RNA". The record is from RNAcentral. Lineage: Bacteria; Pseudomonadati; Pseudomonadota; Gammaproteobacteria; Enterobacterales; Enterobacteriaceae.